UGGUCCAGGGACUCCAUGGUUCCCUCAGGAUCUUUCUCCUGCAUUUUGUUGCAGACCACAAUGCACCGCUCGCGGCGUCGGUUGCCCCGGCAAUGGGCCCCACGCGGCGAGGCCCACACACACACACCCAGAAGGUGGAGCCCCGGCCCGGUUGCGAGGACCACCCAGCUGUCUGGAGAGAUGAAGAAAAUGAGGUUCAAAGAGAUGAAGUCCCUUACCUAAAGUCACAGUGAUAGAAAGUGACAGAGCUGGGAUUUGAAUCCUGAUCUGACUCCACAGUCCCACAUGGUAGGUGGAACCUCUGAGCUACACCUAAACAAAGAGAGCUGAUGCCUCAGAACAGAGUGAUGUCCCUGGAGACACUAAGCAUCCUCGGUGCCUGGUGAGAGCUCCCUAAAUACAUGUGGGUGCAUGGAUGGAUGGAUGGAUGAAUGGAUGGAUGGAUGGAUGGAAGAAAGCAUGGAUAGUUCAGACUACUUCAGCCUUGAUUCCUCAGCAACAAACACCUCAAACUUGACCCUACAUUGGUCCUUGGCUGUCGUGAUCUUCCUUGGACAGAAUCACCUUUCAACUCCAGUCAUCAGACUUUCCCAGGGCCCUCAGAAAGCCCUUCAGAGUUGUUACUCACAGGCAGGCUGAGGGAUUCUUUGGGGAUCUGCAGCUCUCCUCACCUCAUCCACAAGUAGGACCAUGGCCUGUGCCUCACUGCCCCAGGAUCACUCUGUUCCCAGCCCAGUCCAGCAAUCACUUGUCUAGCUUUCUGGGACCUGAGUACUUUCUUGGACCAUGAGUCCUGUGACCACCCUAGCAGCUCUAACCCUCCCUUACCUGAAAGGAAGUGUGAAGUGACCUUGCAGGCCCCAGAGUGGAUUGAAGACCCCGUCCAGAAAGGAGGCACCAUGUGGGAGAGAAUGUAAGGCCUAGGUCUGAAUCCGGAAGCUUCCACCCCAUGGAGAAGGGCUGGCACCAGCCGGGGGCUGGCAGAGGAGCUGAGCUUUGGAGCCAAGGACUGUACUGCAGUGCCGGGAGAGUAAGGCCAGAAAGGCUGAGACAACUCAGGGAAAGAAAACCUCCUUUCUGGCUAAUAGCCAAGCAUCACCUGCGUAGACCGACACUCUGCUGUCCACAGGGGCAGCAGACGAAGACACAUUCAGAGAGGACUAACAGGCCCCCUCACCUCCCAGUCAGAGGGCAGAGAAACCCAGAACAGACGUUAAAGGAACAGACUUUGAGGCCAGGCAGCCUUGGGUGUUCAUCUGUCCCUACUAAGCCAUGUGACAUUAGGCAAGUGAGUCCACCUC
Molecule: long non-coding RNA, 1301 nt
Organism: Rhinopithecus roxellana (golden snub-nosed monkey)
Lineage: Eukaryota; Metazoa; Chordata; Mammalia; Primates; Cercopithecidae
Exons: 2
Source: RefSeq, a predicted model, not a curated record